GACGAACGCUGGCGGCGUGCUUAACACAUGCAAGUCGAACGGAAAGGCCCUGCUUUUGUGGGGUGCUCGAGUGGCGAACGGGUGAGUAACACGUGAGUAACCUGCCCUUGACUUUGGGAUAACUUCAGGAAACUGGGGCUAAUACCGGAUAGGAGCUCCUGCUGCAUGGUGGGGGUUGGAAAGUUUCGGCGGUUGGGGAUGGACUCGCGGCUUAUCAGCUUGUUGGUGGGGUAGUGGCUUACCAAGGCUUUGACGGGUAGCCGGCCUGAGAGGGUGUCCGGCCACAUUGGGACUGAGAUACGGCCCAGACUCCUACGGGAGGCAGCAGUGGGGAAUAUUGCACAAUGGGCGGAAGCCUGAUGCAGCAACGCCGCGUGCGGGAUGACGGCCUUCGGGUUGUAAACCGCCUUCGCCUGUGACGAAGCGUGAGUGACGGUAAUGGGUAAAGAAGCACCGGCUAACUACGUG
This 468-nucleotide ribosomal RNA is filed under the name uncultured bacterium. RNAcentral's name for it is "partial 16S ribosomal RNA". It matches the Rfam family "Bacterial small subunit ribosomal RNA", at positions 28 to 507 of the family's 1533-position model. The record is from RNAcentral.